UGCAAGUCGAGCGCGACCUUCGGGUUGAGCGGCGGACGGGUUAGUAACGCGUGGGAAUAUGCCCAAAGGUACGGAAUAGCCUCUGGAAACGGAGAGUAAUACCGUAUGUGCCCUUCGGGGGAAAGAUUUAUCGCCUUUGGAUUAGCCCGCGUUAGAUUAGGUAGUUGGUGGGGUAAUGGCCUACCAAGCCUACGAUCUAUAGCUGGUUUUAGAGGAUGAUCAGCAACACUGGGACUGAGACACGGCCCAGACUCCUACGGGAGGCAGCAGUGGGGAAUCUUGGACAAUGGGCGCAAGCCUGAUCCAGCCAUGCCGCGUGAGUGAUGAAGGCCUUAGGGUCGUAAGGCUCUUUCGCCAGGGAUGAUAAUGACAGUACCUGGUAAAGAAACCCCGGCUAACUCCGUGCCAGCAGCCGCGGUAAUACGGAGGGGGUUAGCGUUGUUCGGAAUUACUGGGCGUAAAGCGCGCGUAGGCGGAUCGGAAAGUUGGGGGUGAAAU
Molecule: ribosomal RNA, 498 nt
Filed under: uncultured bacterium
Lineage: Bacteria
Description: bacterial SSU rRNA
Rfam family: Bacterial small subunit ribosomal RNA
Source: RNAcentral